AUGCAUAUCGCCGGCCGUAGGGUGCUCGUCCGCUGCGUCCUCUCCGCCAUGCCGACGUUCGCCCUCACGGUACUGAGAGCGCCAAAGAAGUUUUUCAAGGAGGUAGAUAAAGGCAGACGACGUUUUCUCUGGGCACAAGACGAAGAAGCAACCGGAGGAAAGUGUAAAGUAGCAUGGAGCGCGGUCACCACGCCAGAAUCCCACAGGGGCCUCGGCAUACAUGACUUGGACAAAUUCGCGCGCGCCCUCCGUUUGCGCUGGCUCUGGCUCUCCUGGACCCAUCCAGAGCGGCCAUGGGUCGGCACGGGCACGCCAUGCAACCAGCCGAACCAAGCUUUCUUCGCUGCCAACACGGUGGUCACCAUCGGGGAAGGCAGGACGGCGUCCUUCUGGUCAAGCCCAUGGCUUGACGGCAGGCCACUUCGGCUGGAUUACCCCACCCUCUUCGCCCGCUCCAUCCGCAAGAACAGGUCCGUCCGGGACGCGUUGCUCAACGGGCGAUGGAUCCUUGAUCUCCGCCACGGGGAAACCAGUAGCAUUGCACCCUCUGUACUCCAGCUAGCAAGGGCGAUUCGGAGAGCGGGCGACAUCAUAAACAACGACCUUAGUGACACAAUCCGCUGGACUGCUACCACCUCCGGGAGCUACUCCGCUCGCUCCGCCUACGCGGCUCAGUUCCAGGCGCCAAUGGCACCCUUCCCCUCCAAAAACGUCUAG
Molecule: ribosomal RNA, 717 nt
Filed under: Triticum aestivum (bread wheat)
Lineage: Eukaryota; Viridiplantae; Streptophyta; Magnoliopsida; Poales; Poaceae
Description: partial small subunit ribosomal RNA
Source: RNAcentral